RNAcentral lists this ribosomal RNA (254 nucleotides) under uncultured bacterium. RNAcentral's name for it is "partial 16S ribosomal RNA". It matches the Rfam family "Bacterial small subunit ribosomal RNA", at positions 524 to 776 of the family's 1533-position model. The record is from RNAcentral.
GACGAACCGUGCGAACGUUAUUCGGAAUCACUGGGCUUAAAGCGCGUGUAGGCGGGUCGGCGCGUCGGUCGCUGAAAUCCCCCGGCUCAACCGGGGAAGCGGCGCCGAUACGGCCGGCCUGGAGGGACGUAGGGGGGGCUGGAACUUCCGGUGGAGCGGUGAAAUGCGUUGAGAUCGGAAGGAACGCCCGUGGCGAAAGCGAGCCCCUGGACGUCUACUGACGCUGAGACGCGGAAGCCAGGGGAGCGAACGGG